RNAcentral lists this ribosomal RNA (305 nucleotides) under uncultured bacterium. RNAcentral describes it as "bacterial SSU rRNA". It matches the Rfam family "Bacterial small subunit ribosomal RNA", at positions 331 to 635 of the family's 1533-position model. The record is from RNAcentral.
UCCAACCUACGGGGGGCAGCAGUGAGGAAUAUUGGUCAAUGGCCGAGAGGCUGAACCAGCCACGUCGCGUGAGGGAAGACGGCCCUACGGGUUGUAAACCUCUUUUGUCGGGGAGCAAAGAGAGUCACGUGUGACUCAUUGAGAGUACCCGAAGAAAAAGCAUCGGCUAACUCCGUGCCAGCAGCCGCGGUAAUACGGAGGAUGCGAGCGUUAUCCGGAUUUAUUGGGUUUAAAGGGAGCGUAGGCCGGCUUUUAAGUCAGCUGUGAAAGUCCGCGGCUCAACCGUGGAAUUGCAGUUGAAACUG